RNAcentral lists this small RNA (721 nucleotides) under Pongo abelii (Sumatran orangutan). RNAcentral's name for it is "processed transcript". Lineage: Eukaryota; Metazoa; Chordata; Mammalia; Primates; Hominidae. The record is from RNAcentral.
ACUCAGUACAUGUUCCAGGUCCCCAUGCUAUGACCAUCCAAGAGUUGGUAGACUAUGUUAAUGCCAGGCAAAAGCAAGGAAUCUAUGAGGAAUAUGAAGACAUUCGUCGUGAGAACCCUGUUGGCACUUUCCACUGUUCCAUGUCUCCAGGAAACCUAGAGAAAAACCGUUAUGGUGAUGUACCCUGCCUGGACCAAACUAGAGUGAAGCUAACAAAGCGAAGUGGCCAUACUCAGCACAUAAACUGAAUUCACAGUCCUAUCCAGGACCCUUGGAGAAGAUUUUCCUGCAGGAGCAUUUGAGCUAAGAGACUGGCUGGCUGGAGGGUAAAUUCAUCAGUACUGCUGAGAUCAUCAUCGUAUAUGCCCUGAAGGAGUGGAGUACAGUAGUUGAGUUGGGGCUCUGGAGUCAGAGAUAUCUGUAUUUAUCCAUUUUGUUGACUUUCCUGUCUCCAGUACCUAGAACACUGCCUGCCACAUAUCAGACACUCAGGAUAUAUUUGUGAAUGAGUGAAUCUUAGUGUACUGGGAGACUCUUCUAGUCAUCCUGUGGUUAAUAUGAAGAUUAUUGUCUGAUUUGUAGUCCCUCUCCUUACUGAAACAUUAGCGGAGGCUUUAUUUUUAUAGUAAAUGGAGUAUUUAGGCUUUUUUUGAUUUUAUUUUGAUUUUAGUUUUUAGUUUUUUUGACAUUAUUUACUUUGUGGGCCGAAAGCAAAAAAAAA